CUUGACUGUAUCUUGGAAUUGGGUUCGGGCUUUUCUUGCGCAGACUAGGUGGGAGGCUAUGAAGAUUUUCUUCCGGGGAAGUUGGAGCCAACAGUGAGAGACCGCUCUGGAGAGGCUAGAAUCCUAGUGGUGAUCCGUGAAUCCGGACACUUGACAGUUUCAGGUGGGCAGUUUUUCUGGGGCGGAAGCCUCAUAAAAGGUAACUGAGGCGCGCAAAGGUUCCCUCAGUCUGGACGGAAAUCAGACAUUGAGUGUAAAGGCAAAAGGGAGCUUGACUGCAAGACCUACAAGUCGAGCAGGAGCGAAAGCUGGCCUUAGUGAUCCGACGGUUCCGCGUGGAAGGGCCGUCGCUCAACGAAUAAAAGUUA
RNAcentral lists this ribosomal RNA (368 nucleotides) under uncultured organism. RNAcentral's name for it is "bacterial LSU rRNA". It matches the Rfam family "Bacterial large subunit ribosomal RNA", at positions 2099 to 2465 of the family's 2925-position model. The record is from RNAcentral.